AAUAAGGCAUGAAUAUUAACUUGUUUUAAUAUUAAUGUUUUCAGGUUGCACCAUUAAUCGUGAAAAGGAAUAAAUGGUCUAAAUCACAUCAACUUAGUAUAUAUGCACGUCUAGAUGUUAUUACAAACAUAAAAAAAAAAACUGAAUAGGGAGCAGAUAGAGAUAUUUAGGAGUUCUCCGUUUGGUAAUUUCCUUGAUCUAAAAAUAACUAAAUUCCAAAGUCAAUUGUUAUUUCAUAUCAUAAGACGACAAUGUACAUUGACCAAGGAAGAUGAACUUUGGUUCAACUUUGAGAGUCAUAUAGCUAAGUUGGAAUUAGGGAAUAUGAAGUCAUAACUGGUUUGAAUUGUGGUCCUUUACUACAAGUGAACAUGGAGAAAGUGAAGGGUAGACUUUUAGGAAAGUAUUUCAAAAAUGAGGAUAUUAUAUCGAGGUCAAGGUUGACAUACAUCUUCAAUGACUCUAAAAAAGUAAAAGAUGAAGAUAGAGUGAAGUUGGCAAAAAUUUAUUUUCUAGAAAACUUUCUACUAGGAAAAAAAUUAACAACAUGGGUAGAUGUUGAGCACAUCAACCAGAAAUUUUGAAAAAGGAGAAUGCUCUAAAGAAUCUGAGGGCAUUAACACUCAGAUUCCUGAGUAUUACCUAACAUUCCAGAAAAUUAUGUUGACAAACAAUGAAGAAUUAAAUAAGAAGCUAGACAAACUCAUUGGGGAGGUUGAAGAGAUCAAAAAUAAAUUGACUAAUAGAAGUAGUUUAAUGACUGAAGAAGAAAAUUGGAAAGAAAUGGAUGAGGAUCGUGAUGGAGGAAACGGUGAAAGAGAUGACAGAUUGGUGAAUGAGGGAGAAGAUGGUAAUACAGAAAAUAUAAAUAUGGAUGAAGAAGGGGAUAGAACUACAAUAGUAAAUAGUGAAAAUGAAGCUGCAAGGGUAUGAUGUUAUGACUAAUAUAUGUAUUGUUAUUAUUUUUUGAAACACGUAUGUAUAUAUUUAGUAUUGUGUAUGUAUUUAGUAUUUUGUAUGUAUUCUUGAUUGACAUGAUGGACAGAACGAGAGCUUAGAUGACAUGGUAUACAACACAGCUCUACUAAAGGAAGUAGAACAAAUAGAAAAAGAAGCACUGAAAAUGAAGACCAAGAAAUUGGAGAAAAGACAUAUUAAUCAAAGAGGAGCUGUGAAAAAUAAAACAGUAAAGGUAAGAGAAAGUGAUAUUUUUGCUUACAAUCAAUAAGUGAGGAGGAGCCUAAGGAGAGGAAAUCAUCCAUAAAAAAUAUUUAAGUCACCGUUCACAACCAAAUUUGGAUCAGCCGAGCC
This is a long non-coding RNA of Cucumis sativus (cucumber), 1311 nucleotides long. RefSeq lists it as uncharacterized. The record is from RefSeq and is a predicted model, not a curated record. The transcript has 3 exons. NCBI's taxonomy places the organism in Eukaryota, Viridiplantae, Streptophyta, Magnoliopsida, Cucurbitales, Cucurbitaceae.